GUGGUUCGCAAGAUUUUCAUCUACACCAAAGAGGAGGUUCAGAAGAUGGAUCAGGGUACCCUUGACUCCAGAGCUGAAGAGACGACUGUUGCAGAAGAGAGAAAUCUGAUAGAACUGAAGGGGCAAUCUACGACAACGACUGCUGAUUAAGACAACUGAUGGGGGGCUACUGCUGCAGUUUAAGAUGUUUUUGCUUGUCUGUAAAAAUAAAAGAGUGAUUUAUCCUUGUGCUGUGACCUUGUUGAAAACAAGUUUGAUAGUGUUGAGUUCGCCUGAUGUUGCUCAAGUUUUGGUCCUACCCUUUUCGCUCAGGGUAAUCUCUGUCGUUUUCUUUGCUCUUCAUCUUAGGUUGCGAAGAAAAGCGGCGAGCGGCCUUGGUCUUUCUUUCUAGUAUGUAAAUAUUUCGGCAGCCUAUCUAUAGAUAAUGAUGUAGAGGCCAUUUAGCUAGCUUGUUGUGCUGGAUGUCUUAUUUCAAUCAGCUUAUAGUUUGGAACUCCU
RNAcentral lists this unclassified non-coding RNA (498 nucleotides) under Hevea brasiliensis (rubber tree). Lineage: Eukaryota; Viridiplantae; Streptophyta; Magnoliopsida; Malpighiales; Euphorbiaceae. The record is from RNAcentral.